RNAcentral lists this ribosomal RNA (228 nucleotides) under uncultured bacterium. RNAcentral's name for it is "partial 16S ribosomal RNA". It matches the Rfam family "Bacterial small subunit ribosomal RNA", at positions 568 to 796 of the family's 1533-position model. The record is from RNAcentral.
UGCGUAGGCGGCCUGACAAGUCAGAGUUGAAAGGCUACGGCUUAACCGUAGUAAGCCUUUGAAACUGACAGGCUUGAGUGCAGGAGAGGAAAGUGGAAUUCCUAGUGUAGCGGUGAAAUGCGUAGAUAUUAGGAGGAACACCAGUGGCGAAGGCGACUUUCUGGACUGUAACUGACGCUGAGGCACGAAAGCGUGGGGAGCGAACAGGAUUAGAUACCCUGGUAGUCC